RNAcentral lists this ribosomal RNA (2641 nucleotides) under Pseudomonas aeruginosa. RNAcentral describes it as "partial 23S ribosomal RNA". It matches the Rfam family "Bacterial large subunit ribosomal RNA". The record is from RNAcentral. Lineage: Bacteria; Pseudomonadati; Pseudomonadota; Gammaproteobacteria; Pseudomonadales; Pseudomonadaceae.
GAGCGAACGGGGAUUAGCCCUUAAGCUUCAUUGAUUUUAGCGGAACGCUCUGGAAAGUGCGGCCAUAGUGGGUGAUAGCCCCGUACGCGAAAGGAUCUUUGAAGUGAAAUCGAGUAGGACGGAGCACGAGAAACUUUGUCUGAACAUGGGGGGACCAUCCUCCAAGGCUAAAUACUACUGACUGACCGAUAGUGAACCAGUACCGUGAGGGAAAGGCGAAAAGAACCCCGGAGAGGGGAGUGAAAUAGAACCUGAAACCGUAUGCGUACAAGCAGUGGGAGCCUACUUGUUAGGUGACUGCGUACCUUUUGUAUAAUGGGUCAGCGACUUAUAUUCAGUGGCAAGCUUAACCGUAUAGGGUAGGCGUAGCGAAAGCGAGUCUUAAUAGGGCGUUUAGUCGCUGGGUAUAGACCCGAAACCGGGCGAUCUAUCCAUGAGCAGGUUGAAGGUUAGGUAACACUGACUGGAGGACCGAACCCACUCCCGUUGAAAAGGUAGGGGAUGACUUGUGGAUCGGAGUGAAAGGCUAAUCAAGCUCGGAGAUAGCUGGUUCUCCUCGAAAGCUAUUUAGGUAGCGCCUCAUGUAUCACUCUGGGGGGUAGAGCACUGUUUCGGCUAGGGGGUCAUCCCGACUUACCAAACCGAUGCAAACUCCGAAUACCCAGAAGUGCCGAGCAUGGGAGACACACGGCGGGUGCUAACGUCCGUCGUGAAAAGGGAAACAACCCAGACCGCCAGCUAAGGUCCCAAAGUUGUGGUUAAGUGGUAAACGAUGUGGGAAGGCUUAGACAGCUAGGAGGUUGGCUUAGAAGCAGCCACCCUUUAAAGAAAGCGUAAUAGCUCACUAGUCGAGUCGGCCUGCGCGGAAGAUGUAACGGGGCUCAAACCACACACCGAAGCUGCGGGUGUCACGUAAGUGACGCGGUAGAGGAGCGUUCUGUAAGCCUGUGAAGGUGAGUUGAGAAGCUUGCUGGAGGUAUCAGAAGUGCGAAUGCUGACAUGAGUAACGACAAUGGGUGUGAAAAACACCCACGCCGAAAGACCAAGGGUUCCUGCGCAACGUUAAUCGACGCAGGGUUAGUCGGUUCCUAAGGCGAGGCUGAAAAGCGUAGUCGAUGGGAAACAGGUUAAUAUUCCUGUACUUCUGGUUACUGCGAUGGAGGGACGGAGAAGGCUAGGCCAGCUUGGCGUUGGUUGUCCAAGUUUAAGGUGGUAGGCUGAAAUCUUAGGUAAAUCCGGGGUUUCAAGGCCGAGAGCUGAUGACGAGUCGUCUUUUAGAUGACGAAGUGGUUGAUGCCAUGCUUCCAAGAAAAGCUUCUAAGCUUCAGGUAACCAGGAACCGUACCCCAAACCGACACAGGUGGUCGGGUAGAGAAUACCAAGGCGCUUGAGAGAACUCGGGUGAAGGAACUAGGCAAAAUGGCACCGUAACUUCGGGAGAAGGUGCGCCGGCUAGGGUGAAGGAUUUACUCCGUAAGCUCUGGCUGGUCGAAGAUACCAGGCCGCUGCGACUGUUUAUUAAAAACACAGCACUCUGCAAACACGAAAGUGGACGUAUAGGGUGUGACGCCUGCCCGGUGCCGGAAGGUUAAUUGAUGGGGUUAGCGCAAGCGAAGCUCUUGAUCGAAGCCCCGGUAAACGGCGGCCGUAACUAUAACGGUCCUAAGGUAGCGAAAUUCCUUGUCGGGUAAGUUCCGACCUGCACGAAUGGCGUAACGAUGGCGGCGCUGUCUCCACCCGAGACUCAGUGAAAUUGAAAUCGCUGUGAAGAUGCAGUGUAUCCGCGGCUAGACGGAAAGACCCCGUGAACCUUUACUGUAGCUUUGCACUGGACUUUGAGCCUGCUUGUGUAGGAUAGGUGGGAGGCUUUGAAGCGUGGACGCCAGUUCGCGUGGAGCCAUCCUUGAAAUACCACCCUGGCAUGCUUGAGGUUCUAACUCUGGUCCGUGAUCCGGAUCGAGGACAGUGUAUGGUGGGCAGUUUGACUGGGGCGGUCUCCUCCUAAAGAGUAACGGAGGAGUACGAAGGUGCGCUCAGACCGGUCGGAAAUCGGUCGCAGAGUAUAAAGGCAAAAGCGCGCUUGACUGCGAGACAGACACGUCGAGCAGGUACGAAAGUAGGUCUUAGUGAUCCGGUGGUUCUGUAUGGAAGGGCCAUCGCUCAACGGAUAAAAGGUACUCCGGGGAUAACAGGCUGAUACCGCCCAAGAGUUCAUAUCGACGGCGGUGUUUGGCACCUCGAUGUCGGCUCAUCACAUCCUGGGGCUGAAGCCGGUCCCAAGGGUAUGGCUGUUCGCCAUUUAAAGUGGUACGCGAGCUGGGUUUAGAACGUCGUGAGACAGUUCGGUCCCUAUCUGCCGUGGACGUUUGAGAUUUGAGAGGGGCUGCUCCUAGUACGAGAGGACCGGAGUGGACGAACCUCUGGUGUUCCGGUUGUCACGCCAGUGGCAUUGCCGGGUAGCUAUGUUCGGAAAAGAUAACCGCUGAAAGCAUCUAAGCGGGAAACUUGCCUCAAGAUGAGAUCUCACUGGGAACUUGAUUCCCCUGAAGGGCCGUCGAAGACUACGACGUUGAUAGGCUGGGUGUGUAAGCGUUGUGAGGCGUUGAGCUAACCAGUACUAAUUGCCCGUGAGGCUUGACCA